CUUUACUGUAGCUUUGCAUUGGACUUUGAACCGAUCUGUGUAGGAUAGGUGGGAGGCUUUGAAACCGGGACGCUAGUUUCGGUGGAGCCAACCUUGAAAUACCACCCUGGUUUGUUUGAGGUUCUAACCAUGGUCUGUGAAUCCAGAUCUGGGACCGUGCAUGGUAGGCAGUUUGACUGGGGCGGUCUCCUCCCAAAAGGUAACGGAGGAGUACGAAGGUACGCUAGGUACGGUCGGACAUCGUGCUAAUAGUGCAAUGGCAUAAGCGUGCUUGACUGCGAGACCCACAAGUCGAGCAGGUACGAAAGUAGGUCAUAGUGAUCCGGUGGUUCUGUAUGGAAGGGCCAUCGCUCAACGGAUAAAAGGUA
This 368-nucleotide ribosomal RNA is filed under the name uncultured organism. RNAcentral's name for it is "bacterial LSU rRNA". It matches the Rfam family "Bacterial large subunit ribosomal RNA", at positions 2099 to 2465 of the family's 2925-position model. The record is from RNAcentral.